This 256-nucleotide ribosomal RNA is filed under the name uncultured Leptotrichia sp. Its description in RNAcentral is "partial 16S ribosomal RNA". It matches the Rfam family "Bacterial small subunit ribosomal RNA", at positions 99 to 355 of the family's 1533-position model. The record is from RNAcentral. Lineage: Bacteria; Fusobacteriati; Fusobacteriota; Fusobacteriia; Fusobacteriales; Leptotrichiaceae.
CGGACGGGUGAGUAACGCGUAAAGAAACUUGCCCUUUAGACUGGGAUAACAGAGGGAAACUUCUGAUAAUACUGGAUAAGUUAGUAUAUCGCAUGAUAUGCAAAUGAAAGCUACGGCACUAAAGGAGAGCUUUGCGUCCUAUUAGCUAGUUGGUAAGGUAAGAGCUUACCAAGGCGAUGAUAGGUAGCCGGCCUGAGGAGGUGGACGGCCACAAGGGGACUGAGAUACGGCCCUUACUCCUACGGGAGGCAGCAGC